Non-coding RNA from Lolium perenne, 5086 nucleotides. NCBI's taxonomy places the organism in Eukaryota, Viridiplantae, Streptophyta, Magnoliopsida, Poales, Poaceae. The record is from RefSeq and is a predicted model, not a curated record.
UGGUCGUGGGAGGAGGCAAAACGAACGCCCAGGCCAAACCCUAUCCCUAUCCCAAUCCCCACAGGCUCUGCCUCCCUAGCUCCCUCUCCUGGCCGCCGCCUCCCCAACUCCCUUUCCCCGCUGCCGGUCUCCUCUCCGGCGAGCCGCCGGCGGCCAUGUCCUCCUGCUCCGGAUCAUCAAGGCCAAGGACGAGCGGUGGGCCUAGGACGAGCGGCUCAGGCUAGUACGGCCGCGCUCGCCUCGAUGUUCGUCGGCUCCGGCGAGGCCGUGGCUGUCCUCGGCGGCACGCUGGCCGCGGCGGACCUCAUCUUCCGCACCACUACCUCGCGCCAUCACCAUCAUCGGGAAGAGGGGCAGGUGGCCGCUGCACUCCGUCUCUCACUCAUGUGCUCAGGAGAGGAAAAGGUGGAGGUCGUUGGGAGAUGGGUGGCGCCCAGAUCUCCAUGAAUUUAGGAACUGCCAAAUUUGGUCACAGUUAAAGAUGUUGAUGUUGAUGUUGUUUUUGUUGCUUGCCUCAUGGAACAACACAGGAAAUUAUUAGAUAAUUACCCAAGCAACUGAAGAUUGUUGAUGUCUCCGUGGUAAGCUCUCCACAAACUCAAGCUUAAUUAUCUAUGUAGGUAUUGCCUUGGUCACAUAACAACCAGUCAUUCUUAUGAGUGACACUUGCAAUAUUUCCCAUUGCGUGACAUCUGAGGGUGCGCACAGUGGUAUGGCCAUGCUCAUAGGGCACCGGAACUUCAGCAAGAGGUUGUGUAUGCUUUGAUAGAAGUUCUCCGAGAUGAAAUAAGAAAUGCACGACUUGUUGCCAAUCCAGGAUGUUAUCCCACGUCUAUUCAGAUCCAUCUUGUCCCUCUAAAAAAGGCAAAAACUGAUCAAGAUGAGAAACAUUAUAAUUGAUGCAAAAUCUAGGGUUAUUGGGGCAGGCUUGUGUAAUUUGAAGGACGCGGAGCUAAGGAAGCAAAUACUUACACCGAGAUAGCCAAAGGCUUUAAUGCUUAUGAAAUAAAAGGCCUCCGGCAUGUUCCUCAGGUUGAACAAGGGCUUUCAAAUGCUGCUGAAUCCAAAAGUUACUAUCAGCUUCACCCCAAACCUUAUCUACACGAAACGUUGGAUGCAAUCUACCAUGUUUGCUGAAAUGGCACCUGGAUUGUCAGUGAUUUGUAUCGACAUCUCAAGUCUACAUACUUUCAAGUGGAUUGAAGAUGCCAAAUCCCUAUUUCUUGUUCUCUAACACUGUACAUCGACAAUCUUGUGAAAGGAGCAUUUGGCUAGGUUGUGUACAACUUCAAUCUGAUGACGGAUCUGACUGAGAACACGGGGCUGCAAUAUCAGCCCCUGUUUCCUUGAUAUUUGGUGUGAAUGGAAGAGUUGAAAGUAAUUGCAAUUUUUUGGUUAAGAUCAUAUUUUAUUGUGUUAUAAAUUCUGGACAUAAUUUUUUUGCGUUAUAUUCAGAUCCAUUUAAGGUAGGUUUCGUCGCCCAUUUGAUUCAGCUUUUCUCCAAGUGCUAAUCGACCACCCACUGGUUUACAAAACAAUAAGCCUGAAAAGUCAUAUGUUGAACAAGUGGUCAUCGUCCGUCAAAACACACCCGUACCUCAAUUCUUAUACUUGGUCUCCUUGUAGUCUGUACCUCAAAAUCGUAGUGCUUGUAGCAACCUUAUUAACAGUAUGCCUUAUUUGUGAUCGAGUGUCUUAUGUAGAUACUCAAGAGGAACACAGCUGGAGAUCCAUGUCCGCCGAUGCAUUUACCCAGAGAAAUAGAGAAGCACAAAAUACCAAAGAGGUUGUGCCAUGGAGCUGCAGGGUAGAGGAAUGAGGCUGGCGAUGGGAGGGAAGAGCAGGCCGGCCCUGGUUCAUCAUGGAGAAUGCUUGAAAAUUAGGCGUGGCUGCUCUCUCUGCUUCGCCUCUUCUUCCAUGGACCAUGUAUCUGUGGUUGCCUACAGGGUGACAAAAUCGAGGGCUGCAGCUAGAGCAUCAAAAGUGGAACUCGAUUGUCCACUAUCAAGGCUUUGGUAGCAUAAGAAGUUGAUUCAGUGGUAAAUGCAUCAGGAGUUCCUACUUCCAUCUUACCCUAGGCUUGAUAUAAAAGGGUCUUGCUGGAUAGUGGUCCUGCACCACACCUCAGUCAAUAAGUUCAGUUUUGUAGAAUUUACUAGCAUGUUUUCUAAUGGAUGGCUGAAGCACAGCUUGCUCAAAAUGCUAUAUACGUCGCCAACCUGGGUUUGGGUGACUCGACGCUGCAGCAGGUGGAGCAGAAGUGGAUGCAGUCUUCAUGUUAAUCACUGGUUCUUCUCUCUAUUUCUUUUCUUUCUAUUCCUGUAAUUUAUUAUCAUGUGAUUGGUGAGAGCUGAUGGAGGAAGAGAUCUGGCGGCAUUCAUUUUAAGUGACUGAAAAAUAUUGUGAGGCACAUAUAUAUCAAUCAUAUGCUUCCUUCAACUCAUCCAAAAUAUCUAAUAUUGACUCUAAUUUUUAGUUUGUUAUGUACAUUCUCCCGCAUGCAAAAACUCUGUCUAGGUUUUUUUCUGGUUUAUAUUACUAUUUUUUCCUUAAUACUCUGUCUGUAUCUGUAUGUUAGGCCAAGAUAAACCACAACUGCAGUGAUAUGAAGGUAGAUGGGGUCAGUUUCCCCAUGUCUUAUGUAUAUAGAUUUUGGAGUUGGACCAUCCUGGAAAACAUAACUUUCCUUUGUUCAUUUUCCCUAUUUUUAUGAGCCUCCUCAUUUGUUUGCCAAAGAACCUGCUGCCGAAUUAUUGUCACUCGGUUGUUGUUUUUAUUGCUCUUUUCAUUGUUAUACUUAUAUUUAAAGAUGAACACAAUUAGACCUGGGAAGUUACGAUUGCUUUUUUAGCUAACAGAAGUUGUAUUUGUAAACCACUUAGUAUCUAUAUGUAACUGUAGGAUUUUAAAGAAUUUAGUAACGACCAUGUACUAUAGGCUUCUGUGGCAAGCCACUGUUUUUGUAGUUACUUCAAAAAAUGUUUAGGAUUUUCUCUGCUGUAUUACCUUAAAUUUAGUUGUUGAUUAAUUUAUUUUUUCCUUUGCAAGAAUGCCCGCUUUUGGUGAUGCAAGUAGCUAUUGGGUGAUUUUCUGUUAACUAUGUCAUGGCCUCCAAAGACAUGUCCUUCCAUUUGUGUUUGGCUGUAUAUAUGAAGUAGGUUCAAGCUGCAAUAGUUACCGUGUGUUCUUCACUUACCGCUUGUUUCGUGCAGCCUACCAUUCCCCUGUUGUUGAUUAUUUUCUGGUGUCUGUAAUAAUAUUAAAUUGAGGUUAUCUAUUUUCUUUGACAAGAAAAGGCAACCUUGAUAAAGAACGUUGCAAAUUAAGCGGAAGAAGAGAGAGCGAGGGAGGAAAAAAGGAGACUCCCAGAUCACUGACAACACCUACAAAGAAAAAUGGGUAGUCCAUGGCUUUGUCCUUAACUUGCACAUCCUGGAAUAAAAUCUGGAGCUAUAGAUUUAUUUCCAAAUUGGUAGGAGUAUCACUGUUGGUAAAUAAUGAUACAACAAACGAAGGGCUUAGGAGUAAUAAAUUUCCUAUUGAUUAGGGCAAUGUAAUCUCUGUUGGACUGUAGGCUGAAAAGUACCAAACUGAGAAACACCGAAGUUAGGUGAGGCUGAAGUUUUUCGAAUACCUUGAGGAUGCAACAUACAGGAAUGCAUCCCCGCCAUCUGCCCAGGGGGAACAAAAUCACCUACUCUCAAUAGAGAAGAUGGAACAUCAGGUACAUAAUGGGCAUUAUAUUCCAGAAAAUAGUAGAAUCGAAGUGUUCUUAGGAAUUGUAUUAAUGAAUAUUUAUAUAGUGUUUCACACAUGAUAGUUUUUUAUUUCACUUCUAAAGAUGCUUAAUAUAGUGUUUUGUAAUUGUUUACCGGGGCACUAAGACACUCAUGUGCUACUACUACUACGUUUGUGAUUUUGUUUGUUUUAUCCUAAUUUAAUUCACCUCACUUCGUUUUGAAUUAAACCUGAAAAACACAUUAAUAUUGUCCAACUUAUUUUUUUACUUUUUACAAACCGUAAAUCGAUGGGAACUUCACGGGAUCGUGCGCCAAGGCGCCAUUUUAAGGUACAGUAAAGAUAGUUAGAGAGAUUGUUGUAUUUGGAUGUUCUUUAUGAAAAUUUAAAAGUAGUUUCCUGCACACCACUUUAUUUUUCUAUAUUCUCUCCUAAUUUAUUCAUGUACAUCAGUAUGAGUAUAAAUGCUAUCUCCUAAAAUAUUUCAUUCUGCUAGGUUCCUACAUUUGUGUCCAGAUCUAUGUAACUAUUGACUACACACGAGUGGUGAACUUAAGUAUUGAGCGAGGGAAGAAAAUGGCUCCAAGGUAACAUACUAAAACACUUGAGAGCUGGUUUCUGAGAAAUUUAACAUUUACUACUCACCUAAAAAGGCAUGUACUAACAUUCAGGGAGUAGGAUACAAUUAUGAACAAGCAGCGCCCCUUCAGUUUAAGCAAUAAUUUAAUUUAGUGAGGUUGAAUUCAAUGUUUAAUUUUAUUCGAACCCAGUAUAUCUAUGAUAUGUUAUUUGCAUAGAGUUUUCUUCUUUCGAAAACGGAAGUCCCAUCAUUUGCUUGCAUAUUUGUUUGCCCACAACCAAAAUAUUGCUUUAUUAAACUGAACUUUCUUUAGCUUUUGCGCUACAGCUGAGAGCAGGUAUUAUUUCCUCAUCAAGCAUGCGAUUCAUCUUGCUGCCAACUAUUGCAUUAUUCAAUCUAUUUGCACAUUCAUGUGUUAUUAUUUUGCCAAUGGUUUACCUUAACUGUCUAUUCCUGGAUUGACUUAGUGUUCUACCUUAUGACAACUUAUGGCUUCCAAGAUUACUUCAGUCCAGUACAGUAUAUCGAUGCAACAGUUAAAGGAAGAGGCUUACCGCUAUGACUUCGAUGUGCAUCCUACAGAUUACGAGCUUUGCUUUAAACCUGAAUGGUACCCCCUCCAUGUGUUUAGCUAUUGUAAUCUCUGAACAAUGUGUUCAUGUCCCCAUUGUAAUAUAUUUUCCUAUUUUCUCACUUGUGUUUGGCACAUUUCUCUACUGCACUAUCUGUAAUUACCUCUCUGAUGGUCAAUGGAAUGUUAACCACUCA